RNAcentral lists this ribosomal RNA (230 nucleotides) under uncultured microorganism. RNAcentral describes it as "partial 16S ribosomal RNA". It matches the Rfam family "Bacterial small subunit ribosomal RNA", at positions 524 to 753 of the family's 1533-position model. The record is from RNAcentral.
UACGGAGGGUGCAAGCGUUACUCGGAAUCACUGGGCGUAAAGGGCGCGUAGGCCGUUUAUCAAGUCAGGUGUGAAAUCCUACAGCUUAACUGUAGAACUGCACUUGAAACUGGUAGACUAGAGUAUGGAAGGGGGAGAUGGAAUUAGUGGUGUAGGGGUAAAAUCCGUAGAUAUCACUAGGAAUACCGAAAGCGAAGGCGAUCUCCUGGGACAUAACUGACGCUGAGGCG